UUUUGGACAAUGGGCGCAAGCCUGAUCCAGCCAUGCCGCGUGAGUGAAGAAGGCCUUCGGGUUGUAAAGCUCUUUCGGUGAAGACGAAACGGUUAGCGCUAAUAACGCUGACUAAUGACGGUACUCACAGAAGAAGCACCGGCUAACUACGUGCCAGCAGCCGCGGUAAUACGUAGGGUGCAGGCGUUAAUCGGAAUUACUGGGCGUAAAGCGUGCGCAGGCGGUUUGCUAAGACAGGUGUGAAAUCCCCGGGCUUAACCUGGGAAUUGCGCUUGUAACUGGCAAGCUAGAGUGUGGCAGAGGGGGGUGGAAUUCCACGUGUAGCAGUGAAAUGCGUAGAUAUGUGGAGGAACACCGAUGGCGAAGGCAGCCCCCUGGGUUAACACUGACGCUCAGCACGAA
This 402-nucleotide ribosomal RNA is filed under the name uncultured bacterium. RNAcentral's name for it is "bacterial SSU rRNA". It matches the Rfam family "Bacterial small subunit ribosomal RNA", at positions 362 to 757 of the family's 1533-position model. The record is from RNAcentral.